Molecule: long non-coding RNA, 728 nt
Filed under: Pongo abelii (Sumatran orangutan)
Lineage: Eukaryota; Metazoa; Chordata; Mammalia; Primates; Hominidae
Description: lincRNA
Source: RNAcentral
UUUUCGGACUCAGCCCGCUUGCACCUAGGUGAUUAAAAGCUUUAUUGCUCACACAAAGCCUGUUUGGUGGUCUCUUCACAGGGACGCGCAUGAAAUUCGGUGCCAUGACUCGGAUCGGGGGACCUACCUUGGGAGAUCAGCCCCCUGAUCUUCUACUCUUUGCUCCAUGAGAAAGGUCCACCUACGACCUCAAGUCCUCAGAUUGACCAGCCCAAGAAACAUCUCACCAAUUUCAAAUCCGGACCCCACUGAAAAUCAGACUGUUCAACUCACCUGGCAGCCACUCCCAGAGCCCGGGGAACUCUGGCCCAAGGCUCUCUGACUGACGCCUUCCCAGAUCUUCUCGGCUUAGCAGCUGGAGACUGACACUGCCUGAUCACCUCAGAAGCCUACAGGACCAUUACAGAUGCUCUAGGUAACUCUCACAGUGGAAGACUUAGCCCGCCUGCACCCAGGUGAAAUAAACAGCCAUGUUGCUCACACAAAGCCUGUUUGGUGGUCUCUUCACACGGAUGCGCAUGAAACUACCUACACCCAUACGGAAGGGAACAAAUCAUGAAAAGAAAUGGAAUGCUAGAGCAUAGUCAGUUUUGAGAAAAGGCUAACCAACAACAACAAAAAAUCAUAGGCAUGCUCAGAUUGCACAUGAACAGAAAAAUGUUGGAGAGAAACCAUUGAAAUAAUUCACCAGUCCUCUUGUGUUGCUGCUUAUCUGAUUAUCUGAGGUC